Paramuricea clavata is the source of this 169-nucleotide non-coding RNA. Lineage: Eukaryota; Metazoa; Cnidaria; Anthozoa; Malacalcyonacea; Plexauridae. The record is from the annotation of a GenBank genome assembly.
GUUUUAUAUUUAUCACUUAUUUACUGAGACCGAGGGAAACAGUGUGUUUUGUGGACCCGAGACCGUCGAUGUUUCCUGAGGCGAAGCCGAGGGAAACAUCGACGGUCGAGGGUCCACAAAACACACUGCUUUCCCGAGGUCUCAGUAAAUAAGUGUUUUAUUAUAUAUC